This 119-nucleotide ribosomal RNA is filed under the name Cytobacillus oceanisediminis. RNAcentral's name for it is "partial 23S ribosomal RNA". It matches the Rfam family "Bacterial large subunit ribosomal RNA", at positions 2808 to 2925 of the family's 2925-position model. The record is from RNAcentral. Lineage: Bacteria; Bacillati; Bacillota; Bacilli; Caryophanales; Bacillaceae.
GAUUUCCCAUAGCGUCAAGCUAGUAAGAUCCCUGAAAGAUGAUCAGGUUGAUAGGUCAGAGGUGGAAGCGUGGCGACAUGUGGAGCUGACUGAUACUAAUCGAUCGAGGACUUAACCAA